UGAGAAGAGACAAAGCAGGCUGCAC
RNAcentral lists this non-coding RNA (25 nucleotides) under Drosophila melanogaster (fruit fly). The record is from RNAcentral. Lineage: Eukaryota; Metazoa; Arthropoda; Insecta; Diptera; Drosophilidae.